Molecule: ribosomal RNA, 159 nt
Filed under: Alpheus longipalma
Lineage: Eukaryota; Metazoa; Arthropoda; Malacostraca; Decapoda; Alpheidae
Description: partial 16S rRNA
Source: RNAcentral
ACUUGGUGGUUGAAUUAGGGUUCUAUGAUUUAGGGGUAAGGAGGAAUUUCCUCGUUGGCUAUUAUGCUGGGGCGGCAAAAAUAAAAUUCGUAACUGUUUGGGACAAAAAAUAAUUAUUAUUAGAGUGUGACCUUGAAUUUUAGGUUAAAAGAUUAAGUU